CAAAAUAUAGAUUGUAACAUAUAAAAUCAUCAUUAAGCACUUUGAAUGUUUUUCCGUCUACUCUAAAAUGUCUUCCAUAUGCUCAAGAAUGACAAUGUUGAAGAAUUUGUGAAAUUUCUUCUUCAGAGGAACAUCUUAGAAUUUGAUCCUUGCACUUCUUAUAGAGAAAAGGUUAAUCCCAUUAAUGCCCCGUUGCGCUGUGUCUGAAUGCGGCCUCUUUUGUUAAUACUCUAAGUUUGGAUGAACCAUUCCACACACCAAGUAAUUCAUAAUGUCAGCAUACCACGACGCUGAAGCUAUCUGGAUCUUUGAAAUUGCUUCAACAUCUGAAGCUACAUCUUUAACGGCCAGAGUUGUAGCUUGCACCAGUUGAUAAAAAGUUAUAUAUAUCGUGCUGCAGCAAUUUAUACAAGGUCUUAGGAAUAUGAGAGAAAUCUUCAAUAAAUCUUCUAUAAAAACCAGCAUGCCCCAGAAAACUUCGAACAACCUUCACAUUUGUAGAAGGAGGUAGCUUCUCAAGAACAUCAAUCUUGGCUUUGUCUACCUCUAAACCUUUAUUGGAAACUCGGUGUCCCAAUACUAUUCCUUCUUGUACCACAAGAUAGCACUUUUCCUAAUUCAAUACAAGAUUAGUCUCCUCACACAUUUCAUGAAAUUGCUCAAGAUUAUGAAGAUAUUUAUGGAAUGUUUCCCCAAAGACAAAGAAAUCAUCCAUAAAAACUUCAAUAGACUUUUCAAUAAAAUCAUAGAGUAAUGACAUCAUGCACCUUUAAAAAGUUGUUGGAGCAUUACAUAAUCCAAAUGGUAUUCUUCUGAAAGCAAAGGUACCAUAAGGACAUGUAAAUGCGGUGUUCUGGUGGUCAUUUAGAGCUAUAGCUUUCUAGUUGUAUCCAUAGUAGCCAUCCGAGAAGCAAUAGAAUUCCUGCCCAGUGAACCUAUCAAGCAUCUAGUUUAUGAAAAGAAAAGGAAAAUGAUCAUUUGUAGUAGCUUUGUUGAGCUUUCUAUAGUCUAUCCAUAUCCUCCAACCAGUAAUAGUUUUGGUUGGAACCUUUUCAUCUCUAUCAUUCUCUACCAUGUUUCCACAACACAUGCAACAACAACUUCUGCUGAGUGGAACCAAGAAGUGAGGAGAUUAUUAUAGGCAAAGUAUCAUUCUCCCCCAAAUACACAUAUUUCAAAUAAGGAAUGAGCGUCUUAAGCUCUAUAGUUGGUGGUUAUUCAAUUAAUGGAAGAUGUGUUUUCAAAUGUUCACUUGUCAGCCAAAGUGAUUCAUACAUUCUAUCAGAGACCCUAGCAGAUGGAGACUCUAAUUCAAGUUCAUCAGCAGGUUCUUCUUUCGAUUUAAUCCAAGUCUUCAAGCUGCUCUUCUUCAAAGUUUUGGUUAUUGAUUGUCGGAUUUAGGCAAGUGUACCAAAUUGUUUACCAAGUAAUAAACUGAUAAGUAAACUAUCGUAUUCAUAUGGAUUGUCAUUUCAACAAGACAACUUGCGCUACUUAUUUGGGAACAAUAAACAAUAAAAUAAAAUAAAAGAUAAAGGGGGUUUUUCUAGUCUAGUUUGUUUGCAGAAAAGUAUGAGUUUAAAAGUAACCUGUUUUGAUUGCAGAAUGUUGCGACGGAUAAGAUUCUUUGAAUCGCCUAUAUAUAUUUGGAAUUAACUGAUGGGCAACCAUUAUUCAAAUAUUAAAUUGACGUUUU
RNAcentral lists this long non-coding RNA (1696 nucleotides) under Medicago truncatula (barrel medic). Its description in RNAcentral is "lncRNA gene31207". The record is from RNAcentral. Lineage: Eukaryota; Viridiplantae; Streptophyta; Magnoliopsida; Fabales; Fabaceae.